Molecule: ribosomal RNA, 253 nt
Filed under: uncultured bacterium
Lineage: Bacteria
Description: partial 16S ribosomal RNA
Rfam family: Bacterial small subunit ribosomal RNA
Source: RNAcentral
CACGUAGGGGGCGAGCGUUGUCCGGAUUUAUUGGGCGUAAAGGGCGCGUAGGCGGCCUGCUAAGUCGAACGUGAAAUCCCUGGGCUCAACCCAGGAACUGCGUCCGAUACUGGUUGGCUUGAAUCCGGGAGAGGGAUGCGGAAUUCCAGGUGUAGCGGUGAAAUGCGUAGAUAUCAGGAAGAACACCCGUGGCUAAGGCGGUUCUCUAGUACGGUACUGACGCUGAGACGCGAAAGCGUGGGGAGCGAACAGG